AUUGAACGCUAGCGGCAGGCCUAACACAUGCAAGUCGAGCGGCAGCACGGGAAGCUUGCUUCCUGGUGGCGAGCGGCGGACGGGUGAGUAAUGCAUAGGAAUCUGCCCGAUAGUGGGGGAUAACCUGGGGAAACCCAGGCUAAUACCGCAUACGUCCUACGGGAGAAAGCAGGGGCUCUUCGGACCUUGCGCUAUCGGAUGAGCCUAUGUCGGAUUAGCUGGUUGGUGAGGUAAUGGCUCACCAAGGCGACGAUCCGUAGCUGGUCUGAGAGGAUGAUCAGCCACAUCGGGACUGAGACACGGCCCGAACUCCUACGGGAGGCAGCAGUGGGGAAUAUUGGACAAUGGGCGCAAGCCUGAUCCAGCCAUGCCGCGUGUGUGAAGAAGGCCCUCGGGUUGUAAAGCACUUUCAGUGGGGAAGAAAGCCUUGGGGCUAAUACCCUCGAGGAAGGACAUCACCCACAGAAGAAGCACCGGCUAACUCCGUGCCAGCAGCCGCGGUAAUACGGAGGGUGCGAGCGUUAAUCGGAAUUACUGGGCGUAAAGCGCGCGUAGGUGGCUUGAUAAGCCGGUUGUGAAAGCCCCGGGCUCAACCUGGGAACGGCAUCCGGAACUGUCAGGCUAGAGUGCAGGAGAGGAAGGUAGUAUUCCCGGUGUAGCGGUGAAAUGCGUAGAGAUCGGGAGGAAUACCAGUGGCGAAGGCGGCCUUCUGGACUGACACUGACACUGAGGUGCGAAAGCGUGGGUAGCAAACAGGAUUAGAUACCCUGGUAGUCCACGCCGUAAACGAUGUCGACUAGCCGUUGGGAGCCUCGAGUUCUUAGUGGCGCAGUUAACGCGAUAAGUCGACCGCCUGGGGAGUACGGCCGCAAGGUUAAAACUCAAAUGAAUUGACGGGGGCCCGCACAAGCGGUGGAGCAUGUGGUUUAAUUCGAUGCAACGCGAAGAACCUUACCUACCCUUGACAUCGUGCGAACUUGGUAGAGAUACCUUGGUGCCUUCGGGAACGCACAGACAGGUGCUGCAUGGCUGUCGUCAGCUCGUGUUGUGAAAUGUUGGGUUAAGUCCCGUAACGAGCGCAACCCUUGUCCCUAUUUGCCAGCGAUUCGGUCGGGAACUCUAGGGAGACUGCCGGUGACAAACCGGAGGAAGGUGGGGACGACGUCAAGUCAUCGUGGCCCUUACGGGUAGGGCUACACACGUGCUACAAUGGUCGGUACAAAGGGUUGCAAAGCGGCGACGUGGAGCUAAUCCCAUAAAGCUGAUCUCAGUCCGGAUCGGAGUCUGCAACUCGACUCCGUGAAGUCGGAAUCGCUAGUAAUCGUGAAUCAGAAUGUCACGGUGAAUACGUUCCCGGGCCUUGUACACACCGCCCGUCACACCAUGGGAGUGGACUGCACCAGAAGUGGUUAGCCUAACUUCGGAGGGCGAUCACCACGGUGUGGUUCAUGACUGGGGUGAAGUCGUAACAAGGUAGCCGUAGGGGAACC
Molecule: ribosomal RNA, 1490 nt
Filed under: Halomonas campaniensis
Lineage: Bacteria; Pseudomonadati; Pseudomonadota; Gammaproteobacteria; Oceanospirillales; Halomonadaceae
Description: bacterial SSU rRNA
Rfam family: Bacterial small subunit ribosomal RNA
Source: RNAcentral